This 1256-nucleotide long non-coding RNA is filed under the name Vitis vinifera (wine grape). RNAcentral's name for it is "long non-coding RNA (VVIN_LNC002178)". The record is from RNAcentral. Lineage: Eukaryota; Viridiplantae; Streptophyta; Magnoliopsida; Vitales; Vitaceae.
AUGAAACUGAAUUAGGAAAGUAACAAUAUAGUAUGAUUUGCCAAACUGAAAAAACACCACAUACAAGACUUAUUAACAAAUACAUUUUUCUUUGGAGAUUAUUUCCUUCUACAAUAUACUGAUGUACUGCAGAGAAUUUCUUUAACAUUAAAGAAGAUCAUAGUUGUUCAUUGCCAAUAAUGUACCUGAUUGCAUACAAAGAGGGAUGGAGGGUUCUAGUUGUACUUGUCAGCAGAUAUAAGGUUCAAUUAAAUGCAAGAGUCAGCAGAGGCACCCAGUUCAACUUCUCAUUCCUACAGACCUGACUUCGAGAACCUUCAAGUCAGCACUAAUCUGUAACAUAUAACCUCAAAGCAAUAUUAUAUACUUGAACCAGAAUCUUGAAGAUUUUCCAAAUUCAUUUGUAACUCCUCUCUCUCAAGCAACAUCAGAGGUGAACAAAACUUCAUCUCUCAGUAUUCAGGAAAACUGCCAUUGCUGUGUGGUCAUCUCAAGUAUUGAAAAACAGUGCUAAAAUCAAAUGAAUUGCUAAACUGAAAGCCUUUCUGGGUCUUUAUAAAAGUGUCAAAAGUAAAUAAUUAUUCAUCUGCUCCCACCAAAUCCCAGACACAAAAUUGUUCCAGUAGAUAUUUACUUCAGGCAAAAUAAAGAAGGCAAGACUUCAGGCAUAAUCAGUGUAGCAUAAUACUACUUCUAAAGUCCCUUCUGCAGCAAGAGUUCGAAAUUUUGGAUGAUCAUUUUGGAAAAAGGAAAACAAAUAAAUUAAUAUAUAUAUAAAUAAACAAAAUGAAAGUGACCCACCUUGUCCUCACUGGGUUGACCCACCUUCAUUCUCCAAUUGCACUGUAAACAUUGACUUUGUAAAGAACAAAAACAAACUGAGAAAUAGCAAGUGGCCACACAAGAUUCACUCCAAACUUGGGGUCUCCAACAUGAAGCCAAAAUUCUCUUGGACAGAGCUGCAAAUUCCAAAAGAAGAAAGAAAGACUAACUGGCUAGCAAGUUCAUAUUUGUAUGCGUUAACUGUCUCCUGAUUGUGAAAGGAAAUUAAAAACUCAAGUUGAACCAAGUAGCAAGUUUAUAUUUUUUAUGCACCCUUAUCUGAUAUCACCCCUCACAUUCAACACGAAAUCCUUUAGAAUGCAUUGGUGGGGGAUUGGUGACUUCAAAAUUAUACCAUAAAAUCGAAUUUUAUCUUGGAGACGCUAAUCUGAUGAUUCUUAAAUGGAAUUGUGGGAUAUUAACAACUCAGGGUA